Molecule: long non-coding RNA, 301 nt
Filed under: Rattus norvegicus (Norway rat)
Lineage: Eukaryota; Metazoa; Chordata; Mammalia; Rodentia; Muridae
Description: long non-coding RNA NONRATT012518
Source: RNAcentral
AUGGAAACAGUUGAAUCACAGCAGGAUCGAAGUGUAACACAUUCUGUGGCAGAGCAUAGCUCUGCUCAUAUGCAGACUGGCCAAAUUUCUGUCCCUACUCUAGCUCAGCUGCCACAGGUGACAUGCCAACUUACCAGAUCCGAGCUCCUACUACUGCUUUGCCACAAGGUGUGGUGAUGGCUGCCUCACCAGGGAGUCUGCACAGUCCCCAGCAACUAGCAGAAGAAGCAACUCGAAAGCGGGAGCUGAGGCUGAUGAAAAACAGGGAAGCUGCCCGGGAGUGUCGCAGGAAGAAGAAAGA